RNAcentral lists this ribosomal RNA (227 nucleotides) under uncultured bacterium. Its description in RNAcentral is "partial 16S ribosomal RNA". It matches the Rfam family "Bacterial small subunit ribosomal RNA", at positions 585 to 810 of the family's 1533-position model. The record is from RNAcentral.
AAGUCGGUUGUGAAAGCCUUCCGCUCAACGGAAGAACGGCAUCCGAUACUGCAUGGCUUGAGUGUGGGAGGGGAGAGUGGAACUUCUGGUGGAGCGGUGAAAUGCGUAGAUAUCAGAAGGAACACCGGCGGCGAAGGCGACUCUCUGGUCCAUAACUGACGCUGAGUGUGCGAAAGCUAGGGGAGCAAACGGGAUUAGAUACUCCGGUAGUCCUAGCCGUAAACGAU